RNAcentral lists this long non-coding RNA (354 nucleotides) under Mustela putorius furo (domestic ferret). RNAcentral's name for it is "lncRNA (ENSMPUG00000030388.1)". The record is from RNAcentral. Lineage: Eukaryota; Metazoa; Chordata; Mammalia; Carnivora; Mustelidae.
CAGCUAACAGUAGGAAGAAACUCAGAUGUAGCCCUUCCACGGAUCUGCUCAAUAUUCUGUCAUGGCUGAAAAAGCAGACUACUGUCACAAUAAAACCUCCUUUAUAGUCCUAAAGAACAGUAGUAAAGGGAAAUCCUUCCAAUGGAGAAGAGCUACAAAAGGAACAACUGAUCAACUUUUAUAUGGAGGAACACCAGGGAGAGAGGGGCCAUUACCUGCAAGACUAGGACUCAAGUGUACCCUCUCCUCAAGCAGGCACUGAUAGGGGAUAGCCCAGAAGUGGCUGAGACCUGUAUGUUCAUUUUCUUUUCUGGAAUUCACCAAUCAGGUAAGUCAUUGCUCUUUAACCAGGGA